UACGGAGGAUGCAAGCGUUAUCCGGAUUUAUUGGGUUUAAAGGGUGCGCAGGUUGUUUGAUAAGUCAGUGGUGAAAGUCUGCCGCUUAACGGUAGGAUUGCCAUUGAUACUGUUGGACUUGAAUAUGGAUGAGGUAGGCGGAAUGUGUAGUGUAGCGGUGAAAUGCUUAGAUAUUACACAGAACACCGAUUGCGAAGGCAGCUUACUAAUCCAUGAUUGACGCUGAGGCACGAAAGCGUGGGGAGUCAAACA
Molecule: ribosomal RNA, 252 nt
Filed under: uncultured prokaryote
Description: partial 16S ribosomal RNA
Rfam family: Bacterial small subunit ribosomal RNA
Source: RNAcentral